Molecule: long non-coding RNA, 304 nt
Organism: Carlito syrichta (Philippine tarsier)
Lineage: Eukaryota; Metazoa; Chordata; Mammalia; Primates; Tarsiidae
Exons: 3
Source: RefSeq, a predicted model, not a curated record
GGCGGCCCCCGGCCGGUGCGGGCCCGAGGGCUCUGAAGUUGCGGCAACGCCCCGCUUCUCCCGGCUUGCCCGGGGCCUUUCCGUUGCACGGCUGUUCCGUUUCCUUCCAGUUUCAGGUCUGAAAGGAAAAGAGAGAUCUGAUUUAUAUUGGCUUUUGUGAUGGGUAUCAUAUCCUGAUGGCUGCAAGCAUAAUUAAGGAAACAUUUGAUAAGAAGGACUACUUACCUGGACGAAAAAUCACCCAUCGGGUACAACGUGCACAGGUGGGAGGCAUGAAAAAGGUCCUCAAAUGGAAGAUGGAAGA